Pelobates cultripes (western spadefoot toad) is the source of this 285-nucleotide non-coding RNA. The record is from the annotation of a GenBank genome assembly. Lineage: Eukaryota; Metazoa; Chordata; Amphibia; Anura; Pelobatidae.
GAACCAUCGGAACCCAUGAAGGGCCGCAAAUCCCAGAAACAGGCGGCGGCAGCAACCGCCUCAAAUCAUGAUAUUGGACAGAUGCUGUCAUCAACUCCACGCACCCAGGAGCCAUUGCCACGCCAGCCUGAGACAGCUCCCAGCGCGGUAGGAGAGAAAACACACACAGACGAAGCCUGAACAACACAUGGUGCAGAGAAACCUGUCACAGACAAACCUGUUACAAGGCAGGACAUCCACGACUUACUGGCACACUUCCAGGACAUGUUCUUUGCAGAAAUCAAC